UGGUGACUGUUCUGAUGUUGCUCUUUGGAAGACUGAAGUUUUAUUGUUUUCUUGAAAAAAAAAUAUGUAACUUGUGGCAGUCCUUAUUUAUGCUUGUUUUGUAAUAUUUUGGGGUCUUAGUGAGUUCCUUGGAUUUGUUCAUUAUCUCAGCUAUCACAGUUGUGUAUAAUGAUGGUUUGUACUUCCUGACUAUUAUGCUUU
This 201-nucleotide long non-coding RNA is filed under the name Lathyrus oleraceus (garden pea). RNAcentral's name for it is "Pisum sativum (pea) long non-coding RNA (PSAT_LNC020587)". The record is from RNAcentral. Lineage: Eukaryota; Viridiplantae; Streptophyta; Magnoliopsida; Fabales; Fabaceae.